This is a long non-coding RNA of Octopus sinensis (East Asian common octopus), 151 nucleotides long. RefSeq lists it as uncharacterized. NCBI's taxonomy places the organism in Eukaryota, Metazoa, Mollusca, Cephalopoda, Octopoda, Octopodidae. The transcript has 3 exons. The record is from RefSeq and is a predicted model, not a curated record.
CUUUGUAGCAGAUUUCACAUUGGUUCUUUGUUCCCGUCCAUGACAAAAUUGCGAACUACUGCAUACAUGUGAUCACAAAAACGACAAAUUUCACAACUUGCAAAAUAGACACAGUGAUGUUGCUCAACACACUGCUUCAUGAAGGUCUCUG